This is a small nuclear RNA of Sciurus vulgaris (Eurasian red squirrel), 163 nucleotides long. Its record names the gene U1. It matches the Rfam family "U1 spliceosomal RNA". From Rfam's summary of the family: U1 is a small nuclear RNA (snRNA) component of the spliceosome (involved in pre-mRNA splicing). Its 5' end forms complementary base pairs with the 5' splice junction, thus defining the 5' donor site of an intron. Lineage: Eukaryota; Metazoa; Chordata; Mammalia; Rodentia; Sciuridae. The record is from Ensembl.
AUGUUUACCUGAUAAGGGAGAUACCAUGAUCACAAAGGUGGUUUUUCCAAGGCAAGUCUUAUCUACUAUAUAGCAAAUAUACUGACCCUGCUAUUUUACCAAAUGUGGGAUACUUGGCUGUAGAAUUUGUGGUAAUGGGGGACUGCCUUUAUGCUUUUCCUUA